GAUGAACGCUGGCGGCGCGCCUAACACAUGCAAGUCGAGCGAUUCUCUUCGGAGAAGAGCGGCGGACGGGUGAGUAACGCGUGGGUAACCUGCCCUGUACACACGGAUAACGUACCGAAAGGUAUGCUAAUACGAGAUAAUAUGCUUUUAUCGCAUGGUAGAAGUAUCAAAGCUCCGGCGGUACAGGAUGGACCCGCGUCUGAUUAGCUAGUUGGUAAAGUAACGGCUUACCAAGGCGACGAUCAGUAGCCGACCUGAGAGGGUGAUCGGCCACAUUGGAACUGAGACACGGUCCAAACUCCUACGGGAGGCAGCAGUGGGGAAUAUUGCACAAUGGGCGAAAGCCUGAUGCAGCAACGCCGCGUGAGCGAUGAAGGCCUUCGGGUCGUAAAGCUCUGUCCUCAAGGAAGAUAAUGACGGUACUUGAGGAGGAAGCCCCGGCUAACUACGUGCCAGCAGCCGCGGUAA
RNAcentral lists this ribosomal RNA (468 nucleotides) under uncultured bacterium. Its description in RNAcentral is "partial 16S ribosomal RNA". It matches the Rfam family "Bacterial small subunit ribosomal RNA", at positions 28 to 523 of the family's 1533-position model. The record is from RNAcentral.